GGGUGCGUAGCUCAGCUGGUUAGAGUGCACGGUUCACAUCCGUGAGGUCACAGGUUCAAAUCCUGUCGUGCCCA
Molecule: transfer RNA, 74 nt
Filed under: Anaerolineaceae bacterium 4572_78
Lineage: Bacteria; Bacillati; Chloroflexota; Anaerolineae; Anaerolineales; Anaerolineaceae
Also listed under: 1 other name
Description: tRNA-Val
Rfam family: tRNA
About the family: Transfer RNA (tRNA) molecules are approximately 80 nucleotides in length. Their secondary structure includes four short double-helical elements and three loops (D, anti-codon, and T loops).
Source: RNAcentral